Molecule: long non-coding RNA, 901 nt
Organism: Paramisgurnus dabryanus
Lineage: Eukaryota; Metazoa; Chordata; Actinopteri; Cypriniformes; Cobitidae
Source: RefSeq, a predicted model, not a curated record
UUUAAAAUUAAAAUACAUUUGCUGUAAUUGAUAAUGAAAUUGUAAUACCCUAUAAUGUAAGCAUAUAAAGUAUUACAACUACAUGGUAAUUUAUGGAAAAUUUACAUUAGUUAGAGUUUUCAUAGUGAAAAUGCUACAUAUUUUUAAAUUAUUUACAUUUUAUUGUCUUUAACUGAUAGAUGCAAUGCUAGGGUUCUUAAAAAAAAUCAUAUUUGUUUUAAAAAAAAUAUUUUUAAUUAUGAAAAAUGUAGGACCUACAAUGCCUAUUUAUAUUCUCUAUUCCUAAUUCCACCUGUAGAUGGCGCCAUAGCUUUUGGACAUUCUUGGGUUUCUCUGCAGCUAAAUAAUGGACUACAACAAUUAAUUUAUUUAUUUUUGUGUGUAAAUUGAUGCAAACCUAGGAUGACAAUGUUAUACAUGUAUACACGGAAAAACAUAAAAUAAAAAAUAUUUGGAAGAUUUAUGACGUUGAUGACCGUUGAAACGCACGUCAUCACGUCAGGCCAGCUGUGAGGGGAAGUCGAAGCAGCUCAAGAAAGUUGGCGCUUUUAUCAGAUCGUUUGUUUGGAGUCUCUGUUUGUUCCAGCCAUUGUGUUCCUUCAUGCUCCUCCAGAGACUACUAUCCGGAUUGUCCGUGCCAGUGUUGUGACUCUUGCAUCUUUCACCAUGUGACGUUGUCCGGGGCCCAGGGAGUUCUUACAAACAGAUUGAUGGCAACAAUGAACAUGGAUGGUUCAGGGGUGAAGAAGGCCUUUAAAAAACACGGCUAUGUUGUGUUAUAAUAGGUGGCAAUUGCAUCAGAGGGAGAAGACUUCACAGUGCCUCCCUAUACAUGGAUGUCAGCUGACGUCAAUCACUUGUCUUCCGCCAUUUUGAGAACCUGAAGUGGUCGCAAAAGAAC